AAACUUGAGAGUUUGAUCAUGGCUCAGAACGUACGCUGGCGGCACGCCUAACACAUGCAAGUCGAACGAAGUAGCAAUACUUAGUGGCAGACGGGUGAGUAACAUGUAGGUAUCUGCCCUUUGGCCUGGAAUAACACGAGGAAACUUGUGCUAAUACCGGAUAAGUCUUUACAGAGAAAGCUUUAUGCACCAUUGGAUGAGCCUGCACUUGAUUAGUUUGUUGGUGGGGUAAUGGCCUACCAAGACUGUGAUCAAUAGCUGAUUUGAGAGGAUGAUCAGCCACAUUGGGACUGAGACACGGCCCAAACUCCUACGGGAGGCAGCAGUGGGGAAUCUUGCACAAUGGAGGAAACUCUGAUGCAGCGAUGCCGCGUGAGUGAAGAAGGCCUUUGGGUUGUAAAGCUCUUUCGUCGGGGAAGAAAAUGACUGUACCCGAAUAAGAAGGUCCGGCUAACUUCGUGCCAGCAGCCGCGGUAAUACGAAGGGACCUAGCGUAGUUCGGAAUUACUGGGCUUAAAGAGUUCGUAGGUGGUUGAAAAAGUUAGUGGUGAAAUCCCAGAGCUUAACUCUGGAACUGCCAUUAAAACUUUUCAGCUAGAGUAUGAUAGAGGAAAGCAGAAUUUCUAGUGUAGAGGUGAAAUUCGUAGAUAUUAGAAAGAAUACCGAUUGCGAAGGCAGCUUUCUGGAUCAUUACUGACACUGAGGAACGAAAGCAUGGGUAGCGAAGAGGAUUAGAUACCCUCGUAGUCCAUGCCGUAAACGAUGUGUGUUAGACGUUGGAAAUUUAUUUUCAGUGUCGCAGGGAAACCGAUAAACACACCGCCUGGGGAGUACGACCGCAAGGUUAAAACUCAAAUGAAUUGACGGGGACCCGCACAAGUAGUGGAGCAUGUGGUUUAAUUCGAAGAUACGCGCAGAACCUUACCAACACUUGACAUGUUCGUCGCGACUCUAAGAGAUUAGAGUUUUCGGUUCGGCCGGACGAAACACAGGUGCUGCAUGGCUGUCGUCAGCUCGUGUCGUGAGAUGUUGGGUUAAGUCCCGCAACGAGCGCAACCCUCACUUUUAGUUGCCAUCAUUAAGUUGGGCACUCUGAAAGAACUGCCAGUGAUAAGCUGGAGGAAGGUGGGGAUGACGUCAAGUCCUCAUGGCCCUUACGUGUUGGGCUACACACGUGCUACAAUGGUAUCUACAACAGGAAGCAAAACUGCGAAGUUAAGCAAAUCCCUAAAAGAUACCUCAGUUCGGAUUGCACUCUGCAACUCGAGUGCAUGAAGCUGGAAUUACUAGUAAUCGUGGAUCAGCGUGCCACGGUGAAUGCGUUCCCGGGUCUUGUACACACCGCCCGUCACACCAUGGGAGUUGGUUCUACCUUAAGGCAAGGUUUAAAACCCUUGACCACGGUAUAGUCAGCGACUGGGGUGAAGUCGUAACAAGGUAGCCGUAGGGGAACCUGCGGCUGGAUUACCUCCUUU
Molecule: ribosomal RNA, 1475 nt
Filed under: Candidatus Pelagibacter sp.
Lineage: Bacteria; Pseudomonadati; Pseudomonadota; Alphaproteobacteria; Candidatus Pelagibacterales; Candidatus Pelagibacteraceae
Description: bacterial SSU rRNA
Rfam family: Bacterial small subunit ribosomal RNA
Source: RNAcentral